AGAGUCAAUGGAGAAAAUGCCCGGGUACAUGGGCAUUUAGCAGACCAGGAAAGGACUGAAAAGCAGAUCUGAACAGCAGAAAGUGUGGAGAAGAGAUUGGAGUGAGGCAAUACAUGGGAGCAAGACUGCAGGCUGGACGAUGGAUCAGGAAUUCAUUGCAAUAAUCAGGCCCAGGGAUAACCAAGACCUACUGACAGCUACUACAUGAGUGAGCUCGGAAGUCGGUCCUAACUCAGCUGCAGCCUUCUGGAGACUGCAGUCCCUCUGGACAGCUUAACUGCAACUUCAUGAGAGACCUUGAACCUAAACCACCAGGGACCCAAAUUUCUGACCCACAGAAACUAUGAGACAAAGUUUUUUGCUAUAAGUUGGUAAAUUUGUUAUUUACCAAAUUUGGGGGUAAUUUGUUAUACAUACAUGGAUAACUAAUUCAUCAGAUUAAUGAAAGUGAAGGGAAGGUGGUGAUCGGUUUCCAGGACCCAGCACAGUUGGAUAACUUUCUCCAGCAGCCCUAGACAACUCCAGACAAUAUGCUUGUCGACUUUAUAUGCCAUUGAUAUUAUGCGAUGUCCAAUAAUAUCUUUUUUUAAUGGUAUUUUUUAUUUUUUUCUUUCUAAUUUUGCUGUUUUAAGGCUGUGGUUCCCAGGUUAGGGGUUGAAUCAGAGCUGUAGCUGCCAGCCUAAGCCAUAGCCACAGAAACACAGGAUCCAAGCCGCGUCUUCGACCUAUACCACAGCUCACGGCAACGCCGGAUCCUUAACCCACUGAGUGAGGCCAGGGACUGAACCCACAUCCUCAUGGACCCUAGUAGGGUUCGUUAACCACUGAGCCACGAAGGGAACUCCUUCGAUAGUAUCUUUUGAUAAAAUAAUUUUGCCAAAAUCUUAUUUAACUUUCUUAAUGAGCUAUUAACCAUUAACACUAUGUCUGACUUUAAAAGCUUUUUGACAAGAAUGUGUCCUGUCACUGUUUUGACUUUAAAAAGCAUAACUUGAAGUUCCCAUCACGGCAUGCAGAAAUGAAUCUGACUAGGAACCAUAAGGUUGUGAGUUUGAUCCCUGGCCUAUGCUCAGUGGGUUAAGGAUCCAGCGUUACCGUGAGCAAUGGUGUAGUUCGCAGAGGCGGCUCAGAUCUGGCGUUGCUGUGGCUGUGCUGUAGGCUGGCAGUUGUAGCUCCGAUUAGACCCCUAGUCUGGGGACCUCCAUGUGCCACUAGUGUGGCCCUAAAAAGCAAAAAAAAAAAAAAAAAAAAAAAAAAAAUUUAAAUAAAUAAAAAGCAUAACUUUAUUUUUUUAUUUUUAUUUUAUUUUAUUAAGGGCUGCACAUGUGGCAUAUGGAAGUUCUCAGGCUAGGGGUCAAAUAGGAGCUGCAGCUGCAGGCCUAUGCCACAGCCACAGCCACACCAGAUCCAAGCCUUACCUGUGGCCUAAACCACAGCUCAUGGCAAUGCUGGAUCCUUAACCCACAGAGCGAGGCCUGGGCUCGAACCCGAAACAUCAUGGUUACUAGUUGGAUUGGUUUCCACUAGUUCCCAUUGGUUCUGGGAACUCCGGAUAGCUUUAUAGUUUUGAUCACUUCUCUUACUUUUAGGAAGAAAUUUUAUCAAUGUUAUAUCAGUAAACAUUAUUUUGUGGGAUCUUCUUCCUCCAGAAAAAAUAUUUUUUGUGGUUACUAGAUUGGCCACCGAACUUUUUUCAAAAAUGGCACUAAAAUUUCAUUUGUUUGACUAAGUUUCAUAAUCUAUGUAAUGAAAUAGAUGUAAUGUACUGGGGGCCAGGGGCAAAUAGACUACCAGUUUAAUAAAAACAUACAUCUUGGAGCCUCA
Molecule: long non-coding RNA, 1824 nt
Filed under: Sus scrofa (pig)
Lineage: Eukaryota; Metazoa; Chordata; Mammalia; Artiodactyla; Suidae
Description: lncRNA (ENSSSCG00040003242.1)
Source: RNAcentral